AUGCGUAGCCUCGCUUCAUCGAGCCAUGCAGCCUCGUCGUCUAGGGCAGCUCAAGAUGACGAGGAGGAGAACGACGACGAUGAUGAUGAUGCAGAGGAAGAGGAAGAAGAGGGCGCAGAAGAAGAGGGCGCCAAAGAAGAACAUGGUGAGGAAGAGGAAGAGCACGAUGAGGAUGAUGAUGAUGAGGAGGAGUACGAUGAUGACGACGGACCUCCACCAACUCAGCCAACCCAGCGUGAGAAGAGGAAUGUGCCGAAGAAGGACUGGAAGAGUCCAUCCCUGUUUCAGAAAGCACGUCCUGCGGCCCGCAAGAAGACGGCGGCCGAGAAGCGAUCCAAGGAUAAUGAGGACCGAAAGUCGAAGAGGGGAAGGAAUGACUGA
RNAcentral lists this ribosomal RNA (381 nucleotides) under Triticum aestivum (bread wheat). RNAcentral describes it as "partial small subunit ribosomal RNA". The record is from RNAcentral. Lineage: Eukaryota; Viridiplantae; Streptophyta; Magnoliopsida; Poales; Poaceae.